Molecule: ribosomal RNA, 491 nt
Filed under: uncultured bacterium
Lineage: Bacteria
Description: partial 16S ribosomal RNA
Rfam family: Bacterial small subunit ribosomal RNA
Source: RNAcentral
GAUGAACGCUGGCUACAGGCUUAACACAUGCAAGUCGAGGGGAAACGACGGGGAAGCUUGCUUCCCCGGGCGUCGACCGGCGCACGGGUGAGUAACGCGUAUCCAACCUGCCUCUGACUGAGGGAUAACCCGUCGAAAGUCGGCCUAAUACCUCAUGGCAUCGUCUGCGGGCAUCCAACGACGAUUAAAGAUUUCAUCGGUCAGAGAUGGGGAUGCGUCUGAUUAGCUUGUUGGCGGGGUAACAGCCCACCAAGGCGACGAUCAGUAGGGGUUCUGAGAGGAAGGUCCCCCACAUUGGAACUGAGACACGGUCCAAACGCCUACGGGAGGCAGCAGUGAGGAAUAUUGGUCAAUGGGCGAGAGCCUGAACCAGCCAAGUAGCGUGCAGGAUGACGGCCCUAUGGGUUGUAAACUGCUUUUAUGCGGGGAUAAAGUGAGGGACGUGGCCUUCAUUGCAGGUACCGCAUGAAUAAGGACCGGCUAAUUCCGUG